AAAUUGAAGAGUUUGAUCAUGGCUCAGAUUGAACGCUGGCGGCAGGCCUAACACAUGCAAGUCGAGCGGAAACGAGUUAUCUGAACCUUCGGGGGACGAUAACGGCGUCGAGCGGCGGACGGGUGAGUAAUGCCUAGGAAAUUGCCCUGAUGUGGGGGAUAACCAUUGGAAA
This 172-nucleotide ribosomal RNA is filed under the name Vibrio alginolyticus. Its description in RNAcentral is "partial 16S ribosomal RNA". It matches the Rfam family "Bacterial small subunit ribosomal RNA", at positions 1 to 156 of the family's 1533-position model. Lineage: Bacteria; Pseudomonadati; Pseudomonadota; Gammaproteobacteria; Vibrionales; Vibrionaceae. RNAcentral also lists the same sequence under 3 other names. The record is from RNAcentral.